Molecule: ribosomal RNA, 925 nt
Filed under: marine metagenome
Description: bacterial SSU rRNA
Rfam family: Bacterial small subunit ribosomal RNA
Source: RNAcentral
AAAGUUGGUGGUGAAAUCCCAGAGCUUAACUCUGGAACUGCCAUCAAAACUUUUUAGCUAGAGUAUGAUAGAGGAAAGCAGAAUUUCUAGUGUAGAGGUGAAAUUCGUAGAUAUUAGAAAGAAUACCAAUUGCGAAGGCAGCUUUCUGGAUCAUUACUGACACUGAGGAACGAAAGCAUGGGUAGCGAAGAGGAUUAGAUACCCUCGUAGUCCAUGCCGUAAACGAUGUGUGUUAGACGUUGGAAAUUUAUUUUCAGUGUCGCAGCGAAAGCGAUAAACACACCGCCUGGGGAGUACGACCGCAAGGUUAAAACUCAAAUGAAUUGACGGGGACCCGCACAAGUAGUGGAGCAUGUGGUUUAAUUCGAAGAUACGCGCAGAACCUUACCAACACUUGACAUGUUCGUCGCGACUUUAAGAGAUUAAAGUUUUCGGUUCGGCCGGACGAAACACAGGUGCUGCAUGGCUGUCGUCAGCUCGUGUCGUGAGAUGUUGGGUUAAGUCCCGCAACGAGCGCAACCCUCACUUUUAGUUGCCAUCAUUUAGUUGGGCACUCUGAAAGAACUGCCAGUGAUAAGCUGGAGGAAGGUGGGGAUGACGUCAAGUCCUCAUGGCCCUUACGUGUUGGGCUACACACGUGCUACAAUGGCAUCUACAAUAGGAAGCAAGAUGGCGACAUCAAGCAAAUCCUAAAAAGAUGCCUCAGUUCGGAUUGCACUCUGCAACUCGAGUGCAUGAAGCUGGAAUUACUAGUAAUCGCGGAUCAGCGCGCCGCGGUGAAUACGUUCCCGGGUCUUGUACACACCGCCCGUCACACCAUGGGAGUUGGUUCUACCUUAAGGCAAAGUUUAAAACCUUUGACCACGGUAUAGUCAGCGACUGGGGUGAAGUCGUAACAAGGUAGCCGUAGGGGAACCUGCGGCUG